RNAcentral lists this ribosomal RNA (253 nucleotides) under uncultured bacterium. RNAcentral's name for it is "partial 16S ribosomal RNA". It matches the Rfam family "Bacterial small subunit ribosomal RNA", at positions 524 to 776 of the family's 1533-position model. The record is from RNAcentral.
UACAGAGGUCUCAAGCGUUGUUCGGAUUCAUUGGGCGUAAAGGGCGCGCAGGCGGCUCGGAAAGUCGGGUGUGAAAACUCGGGGCUCAACCCCGGGCGUGCAUCCGAUACUGCCGGGCUUGAGGCAGGUAGGGGAGAUCGGAAUUCCUGGUGUAGCGGUGAAAUGCGCAGAUAUCAGGAGGAACACCGGUGGCGAAGGCGGAUCUCUGGGCCUGUCCUGACGCUGAGGCGCGAAAGCUAGGGGAGCGAACAGG